Molecule: ribosomal RNA, 774 nt
Filed under: uncultured Neocallimastigales
Lineage: Eukaryota; Fungi; Neocallimastigomycota; Neocallimastigomycetes; Neocallimastigales
Description: partial large subunit ribosomal RNA
Rfam family: Eukaryotic large subunit ribosomal RNA
Source: RNAcentral
AGAGAGAGACAUGCGCGCAUAUCAAUAAGCGGAGGAAAAGAAACUAACAAGGAUUCCCCUAGUAACGGCGAGUGAAGCGGGAAGAGCUCAAAUUUGAAAUCUUCAAGGUUCUACCUUGACGAAUUGUAGUUUAUAGAAGUGUUUUCUGUUAGUGGAGUGGCAAAAGUUCUUUGGAAUAGGACAUCAUAGAGGGUGAGAAUCCCGUAUUUGGUCAUUCCUCCUAGCGUUGUGAUACACUUUCAACGAGUCGGAUUGUUUGGGAAUGCAGUCCAAGAUGGGUGGUAAAUUUCAUCUAAAGCUAAAUAUUGGCGAGAGACCGAUAGCGAACAAGUACCGUGAGGGAAAGAUGAAAAGAACUUUGAAAAGAGAGUUAAACAGUACGUGAAAUUGUCAAAAGGGAAGCGUUUGACACCAGUGUUGUUUUUCCGAAAAUCAAUUACGAAUGUUUUAUUUUUGAGGAGUUAUGACUUUAUCGGCUUGCUCCUUUCUUUAUGAAACUUUCUUAAUGCACUUUUCGGUUAACAAGUCAACAUCAAUUUCUUUUGUUGUAAAAGGGUAUGAGGAAGGUGGCAUUCUUUUCGGAGAAAGUGUUUAUAGCCUCGUGCCUCUGCAAUCGGAGAGAUUGAGGUCUGCAGCGUAGAUCCUUCGGGGUUAGAUACGUUUGUGCUAAGUUAUAGCUUUUCAUAGACAACUUGUUGACUAUGUUUAGUCUUGUAGCUUACUCGCUGACGCUAUUUUACCUACGCUUAGGAUGUUGAUAGUCACAGCGUGUAC